RNAcentral lists this long non-coding RNA (680 nucleotides) under Equus caballus (horse). RNAcentral describes it as "lncRNA (ENSECAG00000059730.1)". The record is from RNAcentral. Lineage: Eukaryota; Metazoa; Chordata; Mammalia; Perissodactyla; Equidae.
GGGCCGGCCUGGUGGCACAGCGGUAGGUUCGCACGUUCUGCUUCUCGGCGGCCCGGGGUUCGCCAGUUCAGAUCCUGGGUGUGGACAUGGCACCACUUGGCAAGCCAUGCUGUGGUAGGCGUCUCACAUAUAACGUAGAGGAAGAUGGGCAUGGAUGUUAGCUCAGGGCCAGUCUUCCUCAGCAAAAAGAGGAGGAUUGGCAGUAGUUAGCUCAGGGCUAAUCUUCCUCAAAAAAAAAAAAAAAGAUAAUCAAGGUGAGAGAUGCUGGCAGCUCAGUCACAGUGGUGGCCCAGGAGCAGCUAAGAAGCGGCACGAUUCCAGUGUAUUCUGAGGAAAGGACCAGUAGGAUUUGCUGGUGAAUUGGAUGUGGGAUGUGAGUGAAGGAGACGAGUCGAAGAGGACUCCAAGAUUUUUGGCCUCAACACUGGGCUGCAGCAAUCAACAGGACAGACCGUAGCUUUCUCUCCUGCAGCUUACCUCCGAGGCAGAACUGACAUGUAUUUUCUUGUUUGGUCUUCCUAACAGUCCUAAGGAGACAAGGAAACAGUGAUGUCACCUGCCAAGGAUGCUGACUUCCAAACCCAGUCACCGUCCAGACGAACACUCCCUGCAUGGGGAAACUGAGGCGUAGAGAAAUUCAGGAAGAUUUCACAGGUGGGAAAGUGGGAAGACGACUCCUG